GGCAACUCCCCCACCUUCCCGUCCAAAAUUCCAAAUCCCUUCCACAAAAAACCCCUCUUCCCUUCUUUAUCUCGUUUCCAAACCCCCCAAACCUCGUCUUCUCAUUUUCUCGUCUUCUCAGAACAGAGACCCAAAAAGGCGUCGCCUUUGAGCUUCGAGAUGUGUGGUGGUGCGAUCAUCUCUGACUUCAUUCCGCUGCCGGCGGGAGGCCGCCGGCUCACCGCCGACUCCCUCUGGCCAAAUUUCAAGAAGGGCGGUGGCGGCGGUGGAAAGAAGAAAGGCCGGAAGCAGGAGGUGGUGGAGUUCGACGACGAUUUCGAGGCCGACUUCGAGGACUUCAAGGACGAGUCCGAGGAGGACGAGGAGGAGGAGAUCGACGUCAAGCCCUCCGCCUUCGUCUCCAAGGCCCCCUUCUCUGGAGAGGGUUCAACCACUCUAAAAUCAGUAGAAUUCAAUGGGUGUGCAGCUAGAUCAACAAAAAGGAAGAGAAAGAAUCAAUACAGAGGAAUCCGCCAGCGUCCGUGGGGCAAGUGGGCAGCUGAAAUCAGAGAUCCCCACAAAGGGGUUCGUGUCUGGCUUGGAACAUUCAACACUGCUGAAGAAGCUGCAAGAGCUUAUGAUGUUGAAGCUCGUCGUAUCCGGGGCAAGAAAGCUAAAGUGAACUUCCCUGAAGCACCUGCGAGUGCCCAAAAACGCAACCAGAAACCAACUUUGCAAGCACCAAAACCAGCAUUGUCAGAGGAGCAGAAGUCAAAGCCCGAGUACAUGAAUUCCCUUCCCUUGCUAGAAUCUUCUCCACCUUCCGGGGGCACUGGGUUUUUAAAUUUUCUCUCUGAUCAGGGAAGCAACUCUAUUGAUUGUUUAGAUUUCGGAUGGGAACAUGAAACCAAGAAUCCCGAGAUCACAUCAGUUCUUGCUCCUAUGAUAACUGAGGGUGAUGAAUCCAGAUUCCUGGAGCAUGGUAGACCCCAGAAGAACCUGAAAAGCCAAUCUGGUGAGGCAGUACCAGCAGAGGAAAACUCUGCAUUGAAACUUUCUGAGGAGCUAUCUGCCUAUGAAUCAUAUAUGAAGUUCCUGCAGAUCCCUUAUCUUGAGGGGAGCACAUAUGAGUCAAUUGACAGCCUCUUCAGCUGUGAAGUGGCUCAGGAUGGUCUGAACCCUCUGAAUCUUUGGAGUUUUGAUGACCUGCCCACAGAGAGCAGCAUUUACUGAGGGAUAAUGGUUUUCUGUGAAUAAUGAUAAGGAAUUGUUGUCAUUGGAGGAUCUGGAGGACCAGAAAUGUUUGCCGGCUGCAAUCAAUUGAAUUGAAUUAUGGUUUACAAAAGUACCUUUAGAUUGUGGACUUGGUGGGACUUGUGCAUUUGUCCCAUGCUUGAUUCUUCCUGGUAGUUUUCUCAUAGGCUGGGCUAAUUAUUAGGCCAUAAAGAUGGGAGGGAGAAGGCUGCAUCCGAGCUGCAGUUUUUAUUGGGUGUGGUGGAUGAUGGAAAUUUGAAUGAGAAUAUGGUUAAUGGUGGUUACAGUGACUACAUCGUUUUCUGUUCGUUUUAUGGAUUCCUUUAUGAUGAUAUCUUGUUUUUUCUGGCUGUUUGCUAUCUAGGCAAAUGGUUAGCUUUUGCUCUCUAGAGGUGCAAGGAAAUGCCAAUAAAGGUGGUUCCUUCAGCAACUAUGGAUCUGGUUGGUGUCAAUUCAGAACUAGUGAUAAUUUUGUCUGGUAACGCAAUGAAGUUAGAUAUGUGAUGAAUUGAUAUAUACGCAUAUAUUCUUGGUGGGUUCUUGCUGUGAACAGUUCGGGGAAAUACUGCCAAAUGGUUUCCGAGACUCACAAGCUAGACCAAUUAUAUGGGGACGUUUUCAGGCCAAAAAUAUUGGGAAGUGGAGAAGAAGAGGAGGAAACAAGGUAAAGGUCCCAAUACUUGGCUUGUGAUGUGGAGAUCAUGUCUUCUGGAUCCAGAUGCAUGGAACCCAUCUUGGGGAGAAGAAAGACAGCUGCUUUUGGUGUGUUGUUCCAUACUUUUCUUUCACCUGAGACACCGCUUAAGCUGUAAGUUGGUGUGUUUGGUCCUUUGAGAUCCACUUGGAGAUGUGCUUGGUAAUUCAGCAGCAUCGAUUACCAGUUUCCUUGUUAAAGGUGGAUUGUGAUUAAAUGUGGUAUGGGUGUGUUCAACUCUGCAGCCACGAGUGUUGUGACCCUUCAAUUUCGGGGAGAUUUUGCUGUAUGGUUGAUUCACAAGGCCAAACAUUUGGAAAUUGUCAUCUUUUAUUAGUCAUUUUCAAUGCUUAACACCCAAGUUAUUUUUUGUUUCCCUUCUUUGUGACAUGAGUGCCAAGCCUCCACACAACUGUAGGUAAAAAGCAUGGUGGUGUAUCAAACCUAGGUUUAAUGUGGUUGUGCAAUGCAUAUGACAUUAUGACUCAAUGAGUUGAUCAUUUUAAUAUACAUACUCUUAACCAUUUGUUAGUACCA
Molecule: RNA transcript, 2464 nt
Organism: Phoenix dactylifera (date palm)
Lineage: Eukaryota; Viridiplantae; Streptophyta; Magnoliopsida; Arecales; Arecaceae
Gene name: ethylene-responsive transcription factor 1-like
Source: RefSeq, a predicted model, not a curated record